CCUACGGGUGGCUGCAGUGAGGAAUAUUGGUCAAUGGGCGUAAGUCUGAACCAGCCAAGUCGCGUGCGGGAUGACGGUCCUAUGGAUCGUAAACUUCUUUUAUACGGGGAUAAACUGCGGGACGUGUCCCUUUUUGCAUGUACCUUAUGAAUAAGGAUCGGCUAACUCCGUGCCAGCAGCCGCGGUAAUACGGAGGGUCCGAGCGUUAUCCGGAUUUAUUGGGUUUAAAGGGUGCGUAGGCGGGCUGUUAAGGUAGCGGUAAAAGCCCGGGGCUCAACCCCGGCGGGCCGUUGAAACUGGCUGUCUUGAGAGGUCGGAAGGUAUGCGGAAUGCGCGGUGUAGCGGUGAAAUGCUUAGAUAUCGCGAAGAACUCCGAUUGCGAAGGCAGCAUACGGGCGGCGUUCUGACGCUGAGGCACGAAGGCGUGGGUAUCGAACAGGAUUAGAUACCCCGGUAGUC
RNAcentral lists this ribosomal RNA (459 nucleotides) under uncultured bacterium. Its description in RNAcentral is "partial 16S ribosomal RNA". It matches the Rfam family "Bacterial small subunit ribosomal RNA", at positions 338 to 795 of the family's 1533-position model. The record is from RNAcentral.